Molecule: ribosomal RNA, 506 nt
Filed under: uncultured bacterium
Lineage: Bacteria
Description: partial 16S ribosomal RNA
Rfam family: Bacterial small subunit ribosomal RNA
Source: RNAcentral
GAUGAACGCUAGCUACAGGCUUAACACAUGCAAGUCGAGGGGUAACGAGAGGGAAGCUUGCUUUCCUUGUCGACGACCGGCGCACGGGUGAGUAACGCGUAUCCAACCUGCCCCCAACUAAGGAAUAACCUUGCGAAAGUAAGACUAAUACCUUAUAAUUUCCUCAGAUGACAUCUGGCGAGGAAUAAAGAUUUAUCGGUUGUGGAUGGGGAUGCGUCUGAUUAGUUUGUUGGCGGGGUAAGGGCUCACCAAGGCAACGAUCAGUAGGGGUUCUGAGCAGAAGGUCCCCCACAUGGGAACUGAGACACGGUCCAAACUCCUACGGGAGGCAGCAGUGAGGAAUAUUGGUCAAUGGGCGGAAGUCUGAACCAGCCAAGUAGCGUGCAGGAUGACGGCCCUAUGGGUUGUAAACUGCUUUUAUACAGGAAUAAAGUUAGCCACGUGUGGUUAUUUGUAGGUACUGUAUGAAUAAGGACCGGCUAAUUCCGUGCCAGCCGCCGCUGUAA